Molecule: long non-coding RNA, 351 nt
Filed under: Triticum aestivum (bread wheat)
Lineage: Eukaryota; Viridiplantae; Streptophyta; Magnoliopsida; Poales; Poaceae
Description: long non-coding RNA (TAES_LNC016314)
Source: RNAcentral
CAAAAGCAGAAAUCCAAGCCACGGACGAGGCGAAAAGCCAGACAGAAAGGGAGUUGAGUACUGGACUGAACGAUUUAUAUAUUCUUCACAAACCACAACCAAAAAAGAGUACUUGAUUAGCAACUCCAUUACAGAUACUAGAGGUUGAUGCGGAAAACAGAAGGUAACUCAUGUCCAACUAACAUGAACCAGGCGUCGUCUGGCGACACCAUCCACAUUUAUUCUUCGCAUAGACAAAGCAGGGACACCUCUGACCAGGCGCCACAAACGAAAGCAGAACGCUCUACUGAGUCUUGGCCAUGUGGCGGAUCAGGUCGACAACGCGGUUGCUGCAGAGGAAUAAGAUUCAAG